UUAGACCGUUAGCUCAAUCACAAAAUUGUCAUAAUAUUCAUAUUCCAUCGAUCUGUUAAGAAGUGCGUGCGUGCGUACUUGGUACCCAGGGUUUUUGUGUUAUUCCGGCGCGAGCUCGAGUGAGAAAAUGCAAGCUGCAAUGAAGCAGAAACUGAAACUCCUCUACAAUUCCAACUUCAAAUCUCUCUUUACACUCUCAUCAUUCAAAUUUCAUUCUUAUUCCUCUCCGCUAAACUCAUUACCACAUUCUUCCACCGCCACCAACUCCUUCACCACUCCAUGGUCCAUCAUUCAACGACGUGGAAACAAAAUCGUUGGUUCUGAUAUCAGAGUCGGAAAAAAGAUCGGAAAACAAGGGCGCAUUUACGAGGUUCUUAAAGUAGAUCAUUCUCAUGAAGGACGAGGAAAAGCCACACUGAAGGUGGAACUUCUUGACAUUAUCCAGGGAACCAAGGUAUCACAAAGAAUUGCCACUGAUGAUGAGUUCGAAAAGGCCUAUAUUCAGGAAAAGAAUUUCAUGUACAUGUGCACGGAUCAAGAUGGUACUGUAGUAUUAAUGGACACUGAUACGUUGGAUCAAAUUGAAGUUUCCAAAGAGUUGUUUGGCAAGAAUUGUUUAUACAUACAAGAUGAAAUGAAAGUUAAGGUACAAUUUUACGAUGACAAACCUAUAUCUGCAACAGUUCCAAAACGUGUAAUAUGUACUGUCAAGGAGGUGAUUGCAGCCACUCCAAGGAGACCAACUAUGUUUCCCAGUCAUAGGACAUUCCCAAGCAUGCAGUUUGCGAAUGAUAGUUAAAAGUAUCAUCAUCAGCUUCAUAGCUGGGACUUUUCUGUGGAAAUGGAAAUUUAUAGGCUGUAAAGUUACGAAUUUACUCACAGUUGCUGCCAAAGUUAUAAACAGCACAUUCAUCAAACAUUAGGAUAAAACUUGGUAAGGAACAGAAAGAAAAAAUUCCCAAAAAAGUUGAAUGGCAGCCAAAAUAUAUCAUAAAAUUUGGAUCCCCUCAUAAAGAUAUGCCCAAGGAGUGAAAGAUUCCCUGCAGCACUGAAUGCCCACCUUAAUGAGGAAUAAAAAGGUAACACUGGACAAUGGUCCUACAAUCGAAGUCCCCCCUCACAUUGUAGCCGGUGAUGCCAUUCUUGUUAAUACAGAGGACGACUGCUACAUUGAAAGGGCUAAGGCAUAGGGUGUGUUCAGCCAGAGUUUGUGCAGACUGUGUGAAACAACAUCCAUUUUAUUAUGCUCAUGAAUUUUGAAGCAGAUACAACCAACCUAUGCUAUCCUUCCCCCUCCCCUAUAUCUCUAGGUAAUAAGCCUUUCCUUUAUGUCCAAUUGAUGAUUUUAAUGUAUCCGUGGGCAAUGACUUUAGGUUUAGCUGUGAUAUCCGAAUUUUGUGUAUCUUGGUUCAGUUUAUGCACGUCAUAGAGAAGCAUUGGAAAAUUAUUUCACUUCUUGAAGUUUAAAAAAAAAAGUCAUCGGUUCCACUGAGUUUACUCAUUGGUGGGAUCCGGGGCAAGAUACUAUGAUUGUCAACUGCAAGAGAUGUUUUCAAUCCUUGUCAUCAAUUUCUUGGGAACGUCAUCUUUCAUCAACUUAUAGAUAGACGACUUAUUUGGGUGUGACAGCAAAUUUGUUAUUUUACGUUAUUAAGGCCCCGUUUGGAUAAACAGCUUAUAUAGAUGCUUAUAGCAUUAGUGCUUAUGACAUUAGAGCUUAUAUCAUAAGCUCUUAUACUUGAUAA
Medicago truncatula (barrel medic) is the source of this 1745-nucleotide RNA transcript. It is a transcript of the gene named elongation factor P, with no coding region annotated. The record is from RefSeq and is a predicted model, not a curated record. The transcript has 12 exons. NCBI's taxonomy places the organism in Eukaryota, Viridiplantae, Streptophyta, Magnoliopsida, Fabales, Fabaceae.